Molecule: long non-coding RNA, 973 nt
Filed under: Equus caballus (horse)
Lineage: Eukaryota; Metazoa; Chordata; Mammalia; Perissodactyla; Equidae
Description: lncRNA (ENSECAG00000056537.1)
Source: RNAcentral
GGCCCAUGUAUUAGUUAUUUAUUGCUGCAUAAUAAAUAACCCUAAAAUUUAGUGGCUCAAAACCACGGUCAUUUGUUAUCUCGCAGUUUCUCCAGGUCAGGAAUCCAGGAGCAGCUCAGCUGGAUGGUUCUGGCUCAGGAUCUCUCAUGAAGCCGGAAUUAGAUAUUGGCUGUGGCUGUGGUCAUCUAAAGGCCUGACGUGGGCUGGCGGCAUCUUUACUACCUGGCUAUUGGCGGGAGGCAGCGUUGCUCACCACGUGGACUCCUCCACGGGGCUGCUUGAGUGUUCUCACAACGUGGCAGCUGGCUUCCCCCCCCGCCCCCCCCAGCAGGCGAUCCAAAAGACAGCAAGGCAGAAGCCGCAGCAUCUUUAUGACGCAGCCCCAGAAGUCAGGCAUCGUCAUUUCCUCAACGUCCUAUUGGUCAUUGGGCGAGCCCUUUUCAGUGUGGGAGGGGCCAUGCAAAGGCGUGAAAAUCAGGAGACGAGAUGCCUGGGGGCCACGUUGGAGGCUGGCUGUGACAGUACUCUUUUCAGUUCCAUUUGCAGAUGAGCCAUCCUGGUGGGUGGGAAGUGGUGUCUCACCGUGGUUUCCAUUGGCAGUUCCCUGGUGACUAAUGAUGUGGAGCGUCUAACUACAGCACUUUGACGACCAAUGUUAACAAAUCCCUUAAGCAAAAGGCCUUUGUCUUCCAGAAAGAGAAACGAGACUCUCCAAGGUGCCUGUUAGGCACUGAAUGUUGGUGUCCCCACCCACCCCACCUCCCCACUCAAAUUCCUAUGUUGAAAUCCUACCGCCCGCCAUGAUGCCGUUAGGAGGUGAGGCCUUUGGGAGAUGAUUAGGUCAUGAGAGUGGAGCCCCCAUGAAGGGGAUCAGUGCCCUUAUAAAGGAGACUUCAGAGAUCUCCCUGGUCCCUUCCGCCAUGUGAGGACACAGCAAGAAGAUGCCCAUCUGCAAACCAGGAAGAGCAUCCUC